Molecule: ribosomal RNA, 751 nt
Filed under: uncultured bacterium
Lineage: Bacteria
Description: bacterial SSU rRNA
Rfam family: Bacterial small subunit ribosomal RNA
Source: RNAcentral
GACCCGCUCACGGGUGAGUAACACGUAUGCAACCUGCCCGCCACAGGGGGAUAAGCGGAAGAAAUUCCGUCUAAUACCGCGUGACGCGGCGCCGGGGCAUCCCGGUGCCGCCAAAGGGAUUACCGGUGGCGGAUGGGCAUGCGGCGCAUUAGCUAGUCGGCGGGGUAACGGCCCACCGAGGCGACGAUGCGUAGGGGUUCUGAGAGGAAGGUCCCCCACACUGGUACUGAGACACGGACCAGACUCCUACGGGAGGCAGCAGUGAGGAAUAUUGGUCAAUGGGCGCGAGCCUGAACCAGCCAAGUCGCGUGAGGGAUGACGGUCCUACGGAUUGUAAACCUCUUUUGCCGGGGAGCAAGCGUGCGUUCGUGAACGCACGUCGAGAGUACCCGGAGAAAAAGCAUCGGCUAACUCCGUGCCAGCAGCCGCGGUAAUACGGAGGAUGCGAGCGUUAUCCGGAUUUAUUGGGUUUAAAGGGUGCGUAGGCGGGAUGCCAAGUCAGCGGUAAAAAUGCGGUGCUCAACGCCGUCGAGCCGUUGAAACUGGCGUUCUUGAGUGGGCGAGAAGUAUGCGGAAUGCGUGGUGUAGCGGUGAAAUGCAUAGAUAUCACGCAGAACUCCGAUUGCGAAGGCAGCAUACCGGCGCCCUACUGACGCUGAGGCACGAAAGCGUGGGUAUCGAACAGGAUUAGAUACCCUGGUAGUCCACGCAGUAAACGAUGAAUGCUAACUGUCCGGCGCGAAUGAGCGCU